UACGUAGGGUGCAAGCGUUGUCCGGAAUUAUUGGGCGUAAAGAGCUCGUAGGCGGUCUGUCGCGUCGGAUGUGAAAAUCCAGGGCUCAACCCUGGACCUGCAUUCGAUACGGGCAGACUAGAGUUCGGUAGGGGAGACUGGAAUUCCCGGUGUAGCGGUGAAAUGCGCAGAUAUCAGGAGGAACACCGGUGGCGAAGGCGGGUCUCUGGGCCGAAACUGACGCUGAGGAGCGAAAGCCAGGGGAGCAAACGGG
RNAcentral lists this ribosomal RNA (253 nucleotides) under uncultured bacterium. RNAcentral's name for it is "partial 16S ribosomal RNA". It matches the Rfam family "Bacterial small subunit ribosomal RNA", at positions 524 to 776 of the family's 1533-position model. The record is from RNAcentral.